CCUACGGGCGGCAGCAGUGAGGAAUAUUGGUCAAUGGCCGGAAGGCUGAACCAGCCAUGCCGCGUGAAGGUCAGUGCCCUAUGGGCGUUAAACUUCUUUUGUGCGGGAGCAAUAAUGGUCACGUGUGGCCAGACGAGAGUACCGUACGAAUAAGCAUCGGCUAACUCCGUGCCAGCAGCCGCGGUAAUACGGGGGAUGCAAGCGUUAUCCGGAUUUAUUGGGGUUAAAGGGUGCGUAGGCUGUGAGGUAAGUCAGCGGUGAAAUGCCCCCGCUCAACGGGGUGAAGUGCCAUUGCUACUGCCUUGCUGGAAUGCGGAUGCCGUGGGAGGAAUGUGUGGUGUAGCGGUGAAAUGCAUAGAUAUCACACAGAACACCGAUUGCGAAGGCAUCUCACGAAUCCGCGAUUGACGCUGAUGCACGAAAGCGUGGGUAUCAAACAGGAUUAGAUACCCCAGUAGUC
Molecule: ribosomal RNA, 460 nt
Filed under: uncultured bacterium
Lineage: Bacteria
Description: partial 16S ribosomal RNA
Rfam family: Bacterial small subunit ribosomal RNA
Source: RNAcentral